RNAcentral lists this ribosomal RNA (1252 nucleotides) under Curculionoidea sp. 14 KM-2017. RNAcentral describes it as "16S ribosomal RNA". The stretch from base 1021 to 1179 matches the Rfam family "Archaeal large subunit ribosomal RNA", at positions 2542 to 2701 of the family's 2987-position model. The record is from RNAcentral. Lineage: Eukaryota; Metazoa; Arthropoda; Insecta; Coleoptera.
UUAUUAAUAAUUAUUUUGAGUAAAUAUUUAUUUUUAAGCAAGAAAGUUAUUUUUAUUAAUUUUUAUGAAAAAAGUUUGGGUUAUUAUAGAGUAUUAGUAUUGUGAAAGAAUUUAAUGUUAAAUGAAGAAGGAGAAGGUUUUUGUACCUUGUGUCUCAGGGUUUAUUAAAUAAUUUUAAAAGAUUUUAAACUCCCGAAUUAAUAAGAGUUAGGUUUAUAUAAAUUUUAUUGUAGAAUAAAUAUUUUAAAUAUAAACUUGGAAGUGAAACGUUAUUCGGUUAUUAAUAUAUCUGGUUUCAAAAGAAAAGAAUUUAAUUUUUUUAGUAUGGAUUAUUAGGUUUAUUUUUAAAUUUAAUAUUAAUAGUAAUAAAUAUAUUUGGGGAUGAGCUCUAAUGUAGAAUACUAAAAUUUUAUAAUUAAUAAUUAUUUUUAGGAUUAGAAUUGUUUAUAAUUAAGAGGAUGUUUUAAUUCAUAUUUAUUAAGAUAUGAUUUUUAUAGGAUUUAGAUUUUUUAUUUUGAAAUUAAAAAAAAUUUUUAAUUUUAAGCUAUUAUGAUAAAAUUAGUAUAUUGAAAAUGAAAAUUUAAGGUAAAUUUAAGGAAUUCGGCAAAAGAUUUUUCACCUGUUUAUUAAAAACAUGUCUUUUUGAUUAUUAUUUAAAGUCGUCCCUGCCCACUGAAAGAUUAAAUGGCCGCGGUAUUUUGACCGUGCAAAGGUAGCAUAAUCAUUAGUUUUUUAAUUGAAAGCUGGAAUGAAGGGGUUAAUGAAAAAAUAACUGUCUCAAGUUUAUUUAAGUAGAAUUUUAUUUUUUAGUGAUAAAGCUGAAAUUUGUUUUAAAGACGAUAAGACCCUAUAGAGUUUAAUAAAAGUUUAUAAAAUAUAAAGUAGAAAUAAAUUUGUGUUUUAUAAUUUAUUUAUUUUGUUGGGGUGAUAGAAAAAUUAAAUUAACUUUUUUUGUUGGUAACAUAGAUUAAUGAAGGUUUGAUCCGUUUAUUAACGAUUAUAAGAUUAAAUUACCUUAGGGAUAACAGCGUAAUUUUUUUUUAGAGUUCAAAUCGAAAAAAAAGUUUGCGACCUCGAUGUUGGAUUAAAAUUAAUUCUUGGAGUAGAAGUUAAGAGUUUAGGUCUGUUCGACCUUUAAAAUUUUACAUGAUCUGAGUUUAGACCGGUGUAAGCCAGGUUGGUUUCUAUCUUGAAUGUAAAAUAAUAUUUUAGUACGAAAGGAUUAAAUAUUAGAUUUAAAAUUUAAUAAGAG